Molecule: RNA transcript, 1816 nt
Organism: Ictalurus punctatus (channel catfish)
Lineage: Eukaryota; Metazoa; Chordata; Actinopteri; Siluriformes; Ictaluridae
Gene name: interferon-induced protein with tetratricopeptide repeats 5-like
Exons: 2
Source: RefSeq, a predicted model, not a curated record
AUGGCAAUUGAACUGAAGACCAGCUUCAUCAUUGCUAUGAAUGAACUGGCCCUCCAGUAUGGGGCGAACCGGGAUAAGCUGAAAGCAGAAGAAAUGUUCCAGAAUUCAUUUCAGUUAUCAGAAGCCACACUUCUCCAAGCUGAACUGUGCAAGCUUGAAUGUCACUUCACCUGGGAGCUGAAGAAAGAAGACCUAGAUCUCACAGAUCUUUUAAAUCGGCUUGAACAGCAUGUCGACAUGAAGCUUGGGGGGGGAAGCUGGACUUGCGCAGACAUACAAUUGUUUGGGAUUUGUGAAGUAUCUUCUAGGAUCUCCUCAUGACGCUCUCACCUUCCUGCAGAAGAGUGUAGAGCUCACUAGAGAGUGCCGGGAGAAUGGCUGUGAGAAAUGGCUUAUAGUGCCCUAUGGGAAUCUGGCCUGGCUUCAGUACCACAUGAAGUGCUUUAAUGAAUGUGAGAGUUACCUGGAGAAGCUUAGAAGUAUUGCACAGAAUUUCCCCGAGUCUGCUUUGGGUCAUCAUCAUGAAGUGCUUGGAGAAAAGGCCUGGGCCUUCUUCAAGUUCUCUCGUAAGUACUACAACCAGGCUAAAGAGUGCUUUGAGAAGGCUUUGGAGCUAGAGCCCAUGAAUGCUGAGUGGAAUUGUGGUUAUGCCUUUGUUCUCCACAGACUAGAAACAAAGUCCUCCGGUGUAACUGUUGAAGAGUCAGUUAAACAACUGCGGCGGGCCUUAGACACAAAUUCGGAAAAUGAUGAGCUUAAAGCUAUCCUAGCAGUCAAGCUUGCUCAGACCACAGAGUACGAUGAAGGGGAGAGAUUAAUGGAAGAAGCUCUGGAGGGUUCUCCAAAUGCUCCUAAUGUCAUUCGAUAUGUGGGUAAAUUUUUGAGGACCUAUGGCGAUGUAGAGAGGUCCAUCGCCCUUCUAAAAAGAGCUUUAGAGAAGUCACCCGCAUCUGCUUUCAUACACCAUCAGCUGGCUCUCUGCUACAAGAGAAAAACAACUUCUUUGCAACGUGAAGGAAGUCAAAACUCUCAUAGUUCUGGUGCUGAGAUUCAGAGGCUUCGCAGUCAGUGCAUUUAUCAUUUAGACAAGGCGACAGAACUGAAACCUGGCUUUGUUAUAGCUAUGACUGAGCUGGCAAUUCAGUACAGUGAGGAUGGGAAACUUGAUCGUGCGGAAGAGAUGUUUCAGCAAACUCUUCAGAUAGCUGAAGAGAAAAAUGAAGGCCAACAACAAGUGUAUCUGAGUUAUGCACAGUUUCUGCAGUACAGAAGGAGAGACCUACCCGAAGCCAUCACUUAUUACAUGGAAUGUCUGAAGAUAGACGAAGACACAAUAAAUGGGCAGAAAAGUGCUAAACAUCUGAACAAGAUUAAUGAUAGACGUUCAUCUAAAAGCCCUGGGAGUGGAAGAGCUCAGAGGACCUUUGUAAGGAAAGGGGAGAGAAAUGCAGGGCCGUAGAGAGAUGAGAAAAUUCUGCAAAAUAUUCACAAACAUUUUUGAAUAUCUUAAUAUUCUGUGUAUGCUGAGGCUGUCUUUAUAACAGUGUAAUUUCAGAGUUCAACAAAAAAAAAAAAGAAAGGCAACACUAAUUUUUCUUUUUAACAGACACAGUCAGAUGGGCAGUAUUGAACAUGUACACUUUAUUACUUUAACAGAAAUAAAUGUUCAUUCAAGAUAACAGCAUUGGAUCAGUACAGAAGAUUUGUUUCACUGGGCUAAGCUUUUAUUAAUCAUAAUUUAGUUUGAAACAGGUUUAUUGUAAAAGACUUUGUAACUCUUUAUUCUCUCAUAAAAUAAAGAUGAUAUGUAAAACUA